CCUGUCAUCAAGAGCACCAAAGCAUCCUGUGAGCAGUUCUACACUGUAGCCUGUGUCAAACAGUUUAAAAAGUCAGACAGCAUUUUGGAGAGGAAUAGUUGGUACCUGCAAAUCCCUGGAAAGGUUCUUCACGGCUCCUGUGUGUCUUUCAUAUACUGUCAGCACUCAUGUGGAUGACACAAGAAGUGAUCCAGAAUUUUAAAGGAAGAAAAUGGAAAAUACUGCAAACCAGAUACCCAGAAAAUGAGGCCCCAUAUUUGAUGUAUCUGUGUUUCGUUUUGAAAGGUGUACAUUUGCUAUUGGAAGCAUUUCUGACAGAAGUGCAGAGAGAUCAUAGAUAGACAAUCAGAAGUUUGUAGAAGACAUUGAAACAAGGAGCUGGAGUGAUGAAACAGGAUGGGAGGAAUUGGAGGAUGUGAGCAGGAGGGAUUCUGGGAAGAAGGAAAACAAACAGAAAGUAAUUGCAGAAAAAAAAAAGGAAGAGACUGGGAUGCUUUCCCA
This is a long non-coding RNA of Passer domesticus (house sparrow), 501 nucleotides long. RefSeq lists it as uncharacterized. NCBI's taxonomy places the organism in Eukaryota, Metazoa, Chordata, Aves, Passeriformes, Passeridae. The record is from RefSeq and is a predicted model, not a curated record. The transcript has 5 exons.